CUCUCUUUAAAAAAAAUGGAAUAGGAUAGACAGCCUAUAAAUAAACCUCCAAUUAUAUGGCCAAGUAAUUUUUAGCAAGAAUACUAAGAAUACUCGGUGGGAAAAUGAGUCUUUUAACACAGGGUAUUGGGAAAGGCAGUGUUCUACAUACAGAACAACAAAGUUGGAGCCUUCCCUUUAACUACAUUGAAAAAAAUAAAAUAAAAUGACUCAAUGCCUUAAUGUAAGUGGCUAAACUAUAAAAUCCCUAGAAGAAAACAUAGGAGAAAAUCUUCCUGACAUUGGAUUUGGCCUUAUUUUUAUGGAUAGGAAAUCAAAAUCAUAUGCAACAAAAGUAAAGAUAGAUAUAUUGUAGUAUAUCAAAAUUUAAAAAUUUAUACAUCAAAGUACACCAUUAACAGAGUGAAAAUACAUGUAGAAUUGGAGAAAAUAUGUGCAAUCAUAUAUUUUAUAAAAGAUUAACGUUCAGAAUAUACAAAGAAUAUGUGUAUCUAUACACAUAAAAACAAACCACUCAAUUGAAAAAUGAUGUAAGAAAUUGAAUAGGCAUCUCAACAAAGAAGAUACACAAAUAAUCAAUAACCACAUAAAAAGAUGCUUACUAUCAAAUAUCUCUAGGGAAAUGCAAAUCAGAAGUACAAGGAAUUACCACUUCACACUCACUAGAAUAACUAUUACCAAAAACACUCCCACAAAACCAAAAAAUGAAAGUAAAAUAAAAUUUUAAGAAAUUAAGUGUAGUUGAUGGUAUGAAUUGUAAGCUUUUACUCUGUUGACCAAAAAAAAAUGAAAUGUUGCUGCCACUAUGGAAAAAGAGUAUGAUGGCAUACCAAAUUAUCUAGCAAUUCUGCAUGUGAAAAUAUGCUCAACAAAGUUAAAAUAGGC
RNAcentral lists this long non-coding RNA (885 nucleotides) under Marmota monax (woodchuck). Lineage: Eukaryota; Metazoa; Chordata; Mammalia; Rodentia; Sciuridae. The record is from RNAcentral.